GGCAGAGAAGCCACCUGAAGCCAUGCUGUGUGCAGUGCCCUAUUUAGGAAGACGCUAUUCACAUAUACUGUAUUAUGAAGUGUGCCUUUCUGAAUAGUGUAAUGCUCAACGAGUACAACUUCUGUGGUGGCUGAAGUCCCUGAGG
This is a non-coding RNA of Equus caballus (horse), 145 nucleotides long. NCBI's taxonomy places the organism in Eukaryota, Metazoa, Chordata, Mammalia, Perissodactyla, Equidae. The record is from RefSeq and is marked provisional.